CAGCCGCCGCGGUAAUACAGAGGGUGCGAGCGUUAAUCGGAUUUACUGGGCGUAAAGCGUGCGUAGGCGGCUUCUUAAGUCGGAUGUGAAAUCCCCGGGCUCAACCUGGGAACUGCAUCCAAAACUGGCGAGCUAGAGUAUGGUAGAGGGUGGUGGAAUUUCCUGUGUAGCGGUGAAAUGCGUAGAUAUAGGAAGGAACACCAGUGGCGAAGGCGACCACCUGGACUGAUACUGACACUGAGGUGCGAAAGCGUGGGGAGCAAACAGGAUUAGAUACCCCGGUAGUCCCUGUCUCUUAUAC
Molecule: ribosomal RNA, 301 nt
Filed under: uncultured bacterium
Lineage: Bacteria
Description: partial 16S ribosomal RNA
Rfam family: Bacterial small subunit ribosomal RNA
Source: RNAcentral